Molecule: ribosomal RNA, 510 nt
Filed under: uncultured bacterium
Lineage: Bacteria
Description: bacterial SSU rRNA
Rfam family: Bacterial small subunit ribosomal RNA
Source: RNAcentral
AGAGUUGAUAUGGCUCAGGAUGAACGCUAGCUACAGGCUUAACACAUGCAAGUCGAGGGUAGCAGGGUAGCAAUACCGCUGACGACCGGCGCACGGGUGAGUAACACGUAUCCAACCUUCCCAUAACUCAGGGAUAGCCUUUCGAAAGAAAGAUUAAUACCUGAUAGUACUUUUUCAAGGCAUCUUGAGAAAGUUAAAGAUUUAUUGGUUAUGGAUGGGGAUGCGUUCCAUUAGAUAGUUGGUGAGGUAACGGCUCACCAAGUCUUCGAUGGAUAGGGGUUCUGAGAGGAAGGUCCCCCACAUUGGUACUGAGACACGGACCAAACUCCUACGGGAGGCAGCAGUGAGGAAUAUUGGUCAAUGGGCGAGAGCCUGAACCAGCCAAGUAGCGUGAAGGAUGAAGGUCCUAUGGAUUGUAAACUUCUUUUAUAGUAGAACAAAGUGAUCCACGUGUGGAUUUUUGUAUGUAUACUAUGAAUAAGGAUCGGCUAACUCCGUGCCAGCAGCCGC